UCUACCACCCUUUAAUUUAGGAGAAGUUAAACUUUUAGAAUAUACCUGUUAACCCUUUGAAUAAGCAGCUUUAGACAAUCUCAAAGAGUAGUUUUAGGGUUUCCAUUACCUUGGGGGUGCUUAGGGUUUGCAGUAGCUCUUUAUCUUAGAAGCGUUUAGGGUUUCCACUAGCACUUUAUAUUGAAGGCGUUGCGGGUUAAAACAGAAGAUAGGUUUCUGAAAAGUGUAGGGUUUUAGGGAUCAGAAAUUUGUGGCCUUCUUCUGAUGUCUUCGAUCAUGAGUGGUUGCGGUGAUGAUUAUCAGUGUUCAAGCUCAACAGACCGGAUUGCAGCUUUAUUUGGCUGCAUGUCGAUAUUCCCGCUGAACUGAGCAACCACUAAAUCUACUGACUGCUGUGAUGAUACCAAGCUCCCUCUUCUGAUGAAACGUGAAGAGAAUGCUGGCAUGAAUCGAACCUAAUAUACAGCCACUCUGAGCUGAAUUUUCCCUCUUUGUCACUGGGUUUAACAUUUUUAGAUGGUCUAUUUUCAAGAGAAAUGUUUGCUCUACUUGUUAUCGGCUCUAUUUUCGAGAAAAAAUAUUGUCAUCCAAUGUCAUUUUUUCUUAUGAUACAGCGCGGUAUAUGGGAGCCUCAAUAUUUCUGGUUAAUUUUAAACAUAGAUUAAUUCGAAAAUUAAGUUUCAUUUAAA
Long non-coding RNA from Cryptomeria japonica (Japanese cedar), 689 nucleotides. RefSeq lists it as uncharacterized. Lineage: Eukaryota; Viridiplantae; Streptophyta; Pinopsida; Cupressales; Cupressaceae. The record is from RefSeq and is a predicted model, not a curated record. The transcript is spliced from 2 exons.